GCUGGGUGUGGUGAUGCACACCUGUAGUCUCAGCUACUUGGGAGGCUGAAGUAGGAGGAUCACUUGAGCCCAGGAGGUGGAGGUUGCAGUGAGCCAAGAUCAGGCCACUGCACUCCCGCCUGGGCAACAGAGUGAGACUCCGUCUCAA
Molecule: non-coding RNA, 148 nt
Filed under: Homo sapiens (human)
Lineage: Eukaryota; Metazoa; Chordata; Mammalia; Primates; Hominidae
Source: Rfam by way of RNAcentral